GCAAGUCGAGCGGUAACAGGAAUUAGCUUGCUAAUUCGCUGACGAGCGGCGGACGGGUGAGUAAUGCCUGGGAAUAUGCCUUAGUGUGGGGAUAACUAUUGGAAACGAUAGCUAAUACCGCAUAAUGUCUUCGGACCAAAGAGGGGGAUCUUCGGGCCUCUCGCGCUAAGAUUAGCCCAGGUGAGAUUAGCUUGUUGGUGAGGUAAGAGCUCACCAAGGCGACGAUCUCUAGCUGGUCUGAGAGGAUGAUC
RNAcentral lists this ribosomal RNA (251 nucleotides) under uncultured bacterium. RNAcentral describes it as "partial 16S ribosomal RNA". It matches the Rfam family "Bacterial small subunit ribosomal RNA", at positions 57 to 305 of the family's 1533-position model. The record is from RNAcentral.